UGAUUUUUGGAGUUCAUCUUGAUGAAUAAUACGUCACAAUUUCUUAGGGACUUUUGCUUGGUAUUUAACAGUCUUUAUGGUUUUUGAUCUGUCCACCAUCAACAUUUCCAUGGAUUUUAUUGUGGAAAAAGUGGAAAAAAUGGAUUGUAACAACAAAGAAUUAUUAAAGAGUUUUAAAUUGGUGUCAAAGGAAAACGGCAAACCGCAUAAAGUCACAUGAUCAUGGCUUUGCUGUUUGUGGUUCAGAUUUUAACGGCAAGAGGCCCUUCUUGCGAGGAGCGACGACACUUCGCAAUGGCGGCAAAUUUGACAGGUGUCAGCGUGCAAAAUAUAUAUGACAAAGGCAUUGCACUGCGUGUCUGCGUCCAAACUUGAUGAAACUGUCGAAAAACUUAUUUUGUCAUCAAUGGAUAUGAAAAUAAACUGGAAUGCCUGCAAGACUCGGCAAGAAAGCAUACAAUAGCAUGAUAACAUCAAUACGGGAAUAUAUGAGUAAAAAGUGAAAAGUUAAAACCACUGCUGAAACCGUGUUCUUAAAAUUGGAGGAAGGUAGGUGAAAUAUUGUACAGUCCAUGGAAUAAUAACAAAUGUGUUAACAUGGGAUGUCAAUGUCAUACUGCCAAUUCAGGGGGGGUUCAAUUUCAGCACUUAAGUCCAGGAUUAAGGAUUUGGCAUUUAUGCCAUGUUGACUGUCAUGGUAUUUUAAUACAAAAAAAAACAGUAGAGAUUGUUUCCUGUAAGAUAAAGUGCAUACAAACACUUAUAUUGUCAUGAAUCAUGUAAUUCAUGAUCAUUUCUGUCAAAUUCUGUUUAUUGAUUGAUAUAUUGAUUUACUUCAUACUGAUUCUCCACAUUUACAUCAACUCACCAAGUAAUUCACUAUUUAUUUAGUUUAGUGUGGAGCUAUAAGACCAUUUAUGGAAAUGUGACAAAAUUUGGUUAUUAUUUCAAACCGUGAUAUGAAUAUUUCUUUAAAUUAGAUUAUUUAGUGGUUUCUUGCAUUUUGGCAAAUGGCAAGUAAUGAUUUGAAUAUGUGUUGGCUUAUCUUAAUUUGUUUAUUAAUGUCAGAUGCUGCAGUUGGCAAAAUUGUUUACUUAAGUUGUUCAAACUAUGGUUAAUAGAAGUGUUACAUACUGCAAUAUUCUCAUCAUACAAAAUGAGAUGAUUUUUAAUACAUCAUGUUUCAUGUAAAAGUGGACAUUCUAUGCUAGCAAACAUCUAUGAAGAUGGAGCCUGGAUGAGGGCAAAUAACAAUAUGUUUGAAUGCUAUUGCUCUUCUUUAUUGUCAGUACCUAUUGAUAUUAUAUCAUUGAUAUUAUAUUUUAAACAAUUUCCA
This is a long non-coding RNA of Xenia sp. Carnegie-2017, 1336 nucleotides long. RefSeq lists it as uncharacterized. The transcript is spliced from 4 exons. Lineage: Eukaryota; Metazoa; Cnidaria; Anthozoa; Malacalcyonacea; Xeniidae. The record is from RefSeq and is a predicted model, not a curated record.